This is a long non-coding RNA of Daphnia pulex (common water flea), 838 nucleotides long. RefSeq lists it as uncharacterized. The transcript is spliced from 3 exons. NCBI's taxonomy places the organism in Eukaryota, Metazoa, Arthropoda, Branchiopoda, Diplostraca, Daphniidae. The record is from RefSeq and is a predicted model, not a curated record.
ACCAAUAGCGUGGUCAUGGCGUCAUGGCGUAAACGCUAUGUGCGUCCAUCGUUGAAUCAGAGAACUGCUUUAAAAAUUUCGUUCUCACUAAACUAGAUACUCUGCUAUAAUUCUCUGAUUUUCCACCUGAAAUCAAGGAAACAUUUUUACUCGUGCUCAACUGGAUUGCGUUUCUUGAUUGUCCUACGAUCCAUCUCGCCAGAAGGCUUUUCCUGAUACCCGAUUUGGUUAACGUAUUGUUAACCAAAAGCCAGACUGCGCGGAAUAUUGUUGGCAAGUGUAAUUUUCGGCUGCUGUCAAGUCAAGUAGGCCUACUCAUCAAGUGUCAUGUUGUUUGAAAUUGUGUUCAGUUGCAUUACAGUUUCAAUUGUUCACAAGAAGUAUUUGAUAAAGUCUUACAUUGGAAGUAACAGAAGGUGGAUUUUGGGAUAUUGGCAAUUGAAUGGCCAGACAAUUGAGUCUGGUGAACAUGUUGGCAAUCGUAAGUCUGCUUUCAAGCAAACGUGCAUGAGGUGUACAUUUAUAGCUGUUCAAACAACAUGUCUACUAUGACUGUCAUGACUCCCAAACUUGUCGUGUUCACCAUUGAUGUUAGAGAGCCUAUUGCUGAACUCUACUCAGAUGCAGCGAAUGGAAAUAACAACAAAUUCCAGGGCUUCGAACCACGACUGCUAAAGUCAGGUGUAUUAUCUCAAGAACUAUUCCGUCAGAAAGCUAAGUCUUCAAGUCGGAAGAGCUAAUUGUUUGAUUUAAGAGAAAAUCCAUUUAAAAAAUAAUUGUGACUCUUUCUUGUAUGAGUAAAAGUAGUUUAAAUAAACACGAAAUUUGACCAGCAUCA